UGGGGAAUCUUGCGCAAUGGGCGAAAGCCUGACGCAGCCAUGCCGCGUGAAUGAUGAAGGUCUUAGGAUUGUAAAAUUCUUUUAGCAGGGACGAUAAUGACGGUACCUGCAGAAAAAGCCCCGGCUAACUUCGUGCCAGCAGCCGCGGUAAUACGAAGGGGGCUAGCGUUGCUCGGAAUUACUGGGCGUAAAGGGAGCGUAGGCGGGUUAUCAAGUUGGAGGUGAAAGCCCAGGGCUCAACCUUGGAAUUGCCUUCAAAACUGAUAACCUAGAGGAUGAUAGAGGUAAGUGGAACUCCGAGUGUAGAGGUGAAAUUCGUAGAUAUUCGGAAGAACACCAGUGGCGAAGGCGACUUACUGGAUCAUUACUGACGCUGAGGCUCGAAAGCGUGGGGAGCAAA
This 400-nucleotide ribosomal RNA is filed under the name uncultured bacterium. RNAcentral's name for it is "bacterial SSU rRNA". It matches the Rfam family "Bacterial small subunit ribosomal RNA", at positions 355 to 772 of the family's 1533-position model. The record is from RNAcentral.